RNAcentral lists this ribosomal RNA (496 nucleotides) under uncultured bacterium. RNAcentral describes it as "partial 16S ribosomal RNA". It matches the Rfam family "Bacterial small subunit ribosomal RNA", at positions 28 to 506 of the family's 1533-position model. The record is from RNAcentral.
GAUGAACGCUGGCGGCGUGCCUAAUACAUGCAAGUCGAGCGAACGGACGAGAAGCUUGCUUCUCUGAUGUUAGCGGCGGACGGGUGAGUAACACGUGGAUAACCUACCUAUAAGACUGGGAUAACUUCGGGAAACCGGAGCUAAUACCGGAUAAUAUUUUGAACCGCAUGGUUCAAAAGUGAAAGACGGUCUUGCUGUCACUUAUAGAUGGAUCCGCGCUUCAUUAGCUAGUUGGUAAGGUAACGGCUUACCAAGGCAACGAUGCAUAGCCGACCUGAGAGGGUGAUCGGCCACACUGGAACUGAGACACGGUCCAGACUCCUACGGGAGGCAGCAGUAGGGAAUCUUCCGCAAUGGGCGAAAGCCUGACGGAGCAACGCCGCGUGAGUGAUGAAGGUCUUCGGAUCGUAAAACUCUGUUAUUAGGGAAGAACAUAUGUGUAAGUAACUGUGCACAUCUUGACGGUACCUAAUCAGAAAGCCACGGCUAACUACGU